Non-coding RNA from Anolis sagrei ordinatus, 131 nucleotides. NCBI's taxonomy places the organism in Eukaryota, Metazoa, Chordata, Lepidosauria, Squamata, Anolidae. The record is from RefSeq and is a predicted model, not a curated record.
UUUUUUUUUUUUUUUCAAAUUAAUUUUUAUUAAAAAGGUAUAUAGUUACAUGGAAAGUAGGGGAAUAUUGUGGAGGAGAUAGAAAAGUAGGAAAUAAAGUAGAACAAAAGAAAUACCGGAGUAUGGAGAAA